UACAGAGGGUGCGAGCGUUAAUCGGAAUUACUGGGCGUAAAGCGUGCGUAGACGGCUAUCUAAGUCGGGUGUGAAAGCCCCGGGCUCAACCUGGGAAUUGCAUUCGAGACUGAAUAGCUAGGGUACGGUAGAGGGAAGCGGAAUUUCCGGUGUAGCGGUGAAAUGCGUAGAUAUCGGAAGGAAUACCAGUGGCGAAGGCGGCCUUCUGGACGGAUACUGACGCUGAGGCGCGAAAGCCAGGGGAGCAAACGGG
RNAcentral lists this ribosomal RNA (253 nucleotides) under uncultured bacterium. Its description in RNAcentral is "partial 16S ribosomal RNA". It matches the Rfam family "Bacterial small subunit ribosomal RNA", at positions 524 to 776 of the family's 1533-position model. The record is from RNAcentral.